RNAcentral lists this ribosomal RNA (301 nucleotides) under uncultured bacterium. Its description in RNAcentral is "partial 16S ribosomal RNA". It matches the Rfam family "Bacterial small subunit ribosomal RNA", at positions 509 to 807 of the family's 1533-position model. The record is from RNAcentral.
CAGCAGCCGCGGUAACACGAAGGGUGCAAGCGUUACUCGGAAUUACUGGGCGUAAAGCGUGCGUAGGUGGUGGUUUAAGUCCGUUGUGAAAGCCCUGGGCUCAACCUGGGAAUUGCAGUUGAUACUGGGUCACUAGAGUGUGGUAGAGGAUAGUGGAAUUUCCGGUGUAGCAGUGAAAUGCGUAGAGAUCGGAAGGAACAUCUGUGGCGAAGGCGACUAUCUGGGCCAACACUGACACUGAGGCACGAAAGCGUGGGGAGCAAACAGGAUUAGAUACCCCUGUAGUCCCUGUCUCUUAUAC